CUUUAGUCUACAUAACUGAUUCUGUCGGUAAUCAUUACAGCCUUAUCACUGAUCAUGACUGACACCAGAAGUUUAAAGGCCUGUUUAAUGGCAUCAUCAGUGUUUCUCAGUUCAGGUUGAGAAUCGCUACUCAACAUACUUUAGACUUUUUACCCAAUACAGCUGUGCAGCUAAUAAAAUAUCAAAUUAAAUUUGACCUUUGUGAUGUGUAUGGUCUGUUUAUUUUAGUUAUAGAGUCAUAUUAGCUUGCUAACUUAGUCACGGCUAAUGGACUCAGUAUCCACAGACUCUGUACGUGUUUGUAAUUGUGUUUUUAUGUUUUCUUCCUGCAUUCCACUGCACAAAGAAUCACCCACACAGCCAGCUGCCACAGAUGAUGGAGGAAUGAACUCUUCUCCCACUCUGAUGAUGGUCGUAUCCCUCCUCUUAUUAGCCAGUCAUUUCAGCACAAUAACAUGACAGGCAUACUUUAUGUUGAUUUUUUCCUUCAUUCUUCUUAUUAGGCAAAAUAGUCGGUCAGAUUUUGUGAACAUUUCAGCUCGAGGUAUGAGAGUGUACUGUUACCAGUUGCUGGUGUUUCUUUUACACUGGGUAACGAUUUGGCAGGGAGUAAAGUACUUUCCCUUCCUGAAGUGACCCGUUCACUACAAGUGAAGGUGUCCUUACCCAGCAGUAUCCCUAGUGUUCCCUACUUGUUCUUCAUGUGAACAGCUUGAACUUGAACUAGGUGUGCGGUUACGCCUGAUGGGAAGCUCUGGUACGUUAUGUUAGGUGAUGACUGUUGACUUCAUCUGUCACUGCUCAUUACUAUAUACUAAAAUUCUUGCAUGUUUGUACAUUUCUACCUUUUUAUUUCAUAUUUUUCAUGAUUGUAUUUUUGUCUGUACUUUAUUCCUUUGUAUGUUGCGGCCAGUCCUUCGGUGCUUGGCCCCCUAAUAACAAUAAUACAUUCUCUUAAAAGAUGUUUUAGUAAAUGUAUUUUUAUUUGGA
This is a long non-coding RNA of Pangasianodon hypophthalmus (striped catfish), 990 nucleotides long. RefSeq lists it as uncharacterized. The record is from RefSeq and is a predicted model, not a curated record. The transcript has 2 exons. NCBI's taxonomy places the organism in Eukaryota, Metazoa, Chordata, Actinopteri, Siluriformes, Pangasiidae.